AAGAUGAGAAUCCAAAAUCUUCAAUCUUUUUACCUCCUCUUUUUACUUGUAUUCUUCUUCUCCUUCAAUUCUGCAACUUCAGAAUCUCAUCUUCAGUUGAGAAGAGGUGAUUCUUUAUCUGUUGAGGGCGAUCAAGAUUUCCUCACCUCCCCAGAUAACUCAUUUACUUGUGGGUUUCUUAACUUGGAAAAUUCUAAUGCCUACUGGUUUGCAAUUUGGUUCACAAAUUCUAAAGAAAAAACCGUCGUCUGGACCGCAAAUCGGGACAGGCCGGUUAACGGCCACGGCUCGAAAGUACACUUCAGGGGAGACGGAACCGUGAUCUUAACAGACGUUGAUGACACCGUUGUAUGGCAGACAAAUACCACCACAACUGAUGUUGCAAUAGCUAAGGUUCUGAAUUCAGGCAACCUCGUAUUGGAGAAUCCACAAGGUGAUAUUCUCUGGCAAAGUUUUGAUUUUCCUACAGAUACCCUUUUACCUUUACAAACACUUACUAAGAAUAAAAGAUUGACUUCUGCAUUGAGAAAAGGGAGUUAUGGAUCAGGUUACUUUAAUUUGAAUUUUGGAAGUGAUAAUGUUUUGAGAUUGAUAUCGGAUACACCCGAUACAUCAAGCAAUUAUUGGCCUAAUCCUGAUUUUGAUGUUUAUAGAAAUGGAAGAACAAAUUAUAAUAGUAGUAGAGUGGCAUUUUUGGAUGAUAUGGGCAGGUUUCUGUCAAGCGAUCAAUUGCAAAUCAAUGCUUCGGAUAUGGGAUAUGGAAUUAAAAGACGGAUGACAAUAGAUUAUGAUGGGAAUCUUAGGAUUUAUAGCUUGAUCAACUCGACGGGUUUGUGGGAAAUAACGUGGCAAGCUCUUGGACAACCUUGUAGCGUACGAGGUGUGUGUGGAAGAAACGCGGUAUGUGUUUAUGCGCCGGAUCCUCGGUGUGCUUGUCCUCCUGGGUUCGAGGUGAAUGAUCCGAGUGACUGGAAUGCUGGUUGCAAGGCAACGUUCAACGAGACUCUUUUACGUUCUCGACAAGUGAAAUUCGUGGAGAUACCUCAUGUGGAUUUCUAUGGUUUUGAUCUCAAUGCGACUUCUCCAUUGACAUUGGAAUCUUGCAGGGAGAUGUGUGCGAGUGAUUUUCGUUGCCUUGCGUUUAGCUACCGGAUUUUGGGACAAGGAGUCUGCUUUGUAAAAAGUGCACUCCUUAAUGGCUAUGAAACUCCAGAUUUCCCUGCAAGAAUAUACAUUAAAGUUCCAAACAGUUUGCAACCACCGAAUCCUUCAAUUCUGUAUGAAUCCAGAAGAAUGUGUGGAUCUGCAGAAGCAGAACAAAUCAUAGGAUCUCCUUCUAUGUAUGACUUCGUCCCGAAAAGAGUGAAAUGGAUUUAUAUCNNNNNNNNNNNNNNNNNNNNNNNNNNNNNNNNNNNNNNNNNNNNNNNNNNNNNNNNNNNNNNNNNNNNNNNNNNNNNNNNNNNNNNNNNNNNNNNNNNNNNNNNNNUCAGAUGGUAGGGAAGUAGCAGUUAAGAAACUGGGGGACGUUUUUCAAGCCCAAGAUGAGUAUUCAGCAGAAAUCAGCACCAUAGGAAAGAUCAAUCACAUGAAUCUAGUGAGAUUUUGGGGGUUUUGCUCAGAACGAAGGCAUCGACUCUUGGUCUAUGAGUACAUCGAUAACUUGUCACUCGACAAGCAUCUUUUUGACUCUAAUUUCCUCACAUGGAAGCAAAGGUUUGCGGUGGCAAUAGGGACAGCCAAAGGCUUAGCCUACCUCCACCACGAGUGUCUCGAAUGGGUAAUCCAUUGUGAUGUGAAACCCGAAAAUAUACUUCUAGACGGAGAAUUUCAACCCAAGAUUGCAGAUUUCGGGUUAGCAAAACUGUCUCAGAGAGGCGGCCCUGGUUCCGAAUUCACCAGAAUUCGAGGGACUAAAGGCUACAUGGCUCCAGAAUGGGCUCUAAACCAUCCGAUUACAGCUAAAGUCGACGUGUAUGGAUAUGGUGUCGUAAUCUUGGAGAUGGUAAGGGGAAUUAGACUUUCGAAUUGGGAGGUCGCUGACGAAUAUGAGAACGAAGCAGCACUCAAGAGUUUCGUUAGGACAGUGAAGAAAAAAAUUGAGCGUGGAAGCUCCAUUUGGGUGGAGAGCUUUGUUGAUCCAAGAUUGAAAGGGAAGUUUUACAGAAAACAGGCAGAAACAUUGGUUCAAAUAGGCCUUUCAUGUGUACAAGAAGAUAGAAACAAGCGCCCAACAAUGGCUUCUGUGGUACAAACUCUGCUGGAAUGUGAAGAUGAUACAGAACAGAUUUCAGACAACUUGUAAUUGCAUCAUUUGAGCUCUAAGUUUCUUUUUUUCAUCUUCAUCAUUUUUUUUUAAAAAUUGUAGUUAGAACUUUCUCGUAAUGUGAACUCAGAACUGGACUCAAGUUUUUCCUGCCGCUUAGUUGAAUAGGUUAUUAAAUUUUGCUGAGGAAUGAACACACAAAUUACAGCAUCAAAGUAAAUAAAUUUCUUUUCUUGUCCAUGUGUAAUUAAGGAGAAAUAAUGUGAACCCAAAAAAGGACUCACGAUCUUCUGCCUUUGGGUUGAACAGAUCUAUCAAAUUCGUGCAGCAGACAAAUAGAAGCUUCGCCAGAAACCGUCAAUGAACAGAUAAAAGAUAAUUAGCAUGAUCAGAUUGCAAAAAUAACCUCCUUUACAUACUAUGGUGUAAUUUUGGUCGGCAGAGCCUUUUCUGAAGAGAAUAUUUUAAUAUAAAGAGACCCCAUUUUCCUAUAUGAAACUGAUGGCAUAGUUUGUCAUCAUACUGAAAUAGAAUCGAAGAUCCAAAUCUCGCUACUCUUUGGACCACUUUUAAGCUUCUGGUUAUUUAAUUGGUUAAACAUUACCCAUCAUAUAAAGGAUUUCUUUUGUAACAAAAAUAUCACUAGGCUUAGAAUGAUCCACAACUUGCUUUGAGUUCUCGAACUUUUCCCGUUUAAAAUUAUAUUUAAUUUUUGUGAAGCAUUGGCAGGAAUAUAUCAACGUAAAGAGAAAUCAAGAAAAUCUGGAAAAGUUAGGUACUAGUUACAAUUUAGUUUAUCGCGCUCAAGAAUGACAUGCCAUUUUAUGACGGAGCCGAGUUGACGUGAUAAUAAUAAGGACAAAAGGCAAGGGUAACAAAGAAGUCAUGAGUCUAUUUCUUGACGUUAAAUAAAUCACUAGUGAUAGAUAAUAUUAUUUUGUUAUUAUUUGAUGCAUUAAAUCAGAUUUUGCCUUGAACACAGAAUUUGUUGGGCUAUUCUUGGUUCAUAUAUCAUUUUGUAUAACAGCGAAUAGUUAAUUCAAGAUUUUUCUUAGUUUACAAGUUGAAUUUUCAAGGUCCUUUGUGUAAUUGUGUAAAAUUUUUGUUAAUCUUUAAACUUGUCUUUUUCAACACAAUUCCAAUACAUACCUGCUAAACUUAGCUAAAUUUUUUAAACUCAUUAAAUUUUAAUUUUAACCACAUAUUAGCCCCCAUUUGGCCCCCCAUUAAAUUCCAUUACAUUUUUCUUUCUUCUAUUUUUAACCAAAUAAUCUUUUCAUAAAAUAAUAUUACAUGUAAAUAAAAAAAAUUUCCUUUUUUUUAACCGCUCAUUUAAAAAAAAAAAUACUAUUCCACUCAUUUUCAUUUUUCGAAAAUGGGGGUCAAACAGGGGCUUAAUAGAGCUUACAACUUUCAUAAAUUUUUCUAUAUACUAGUCUUCGUCUCGUGCAUUGCACUAUUUAUUGUGUUAUUAUUAGUGUGGAAUGUGUAGAAUAUAGAAAAAGUUUUUGAAAUUUUUGAAAAUGUAGACAACUUUGAAGAAUAAUAAAUGGUAUAAAAUAUUAAUUAAAUGUCUUGUUAUUUUUAAAAUAGAACGAUUGCCAAUUAAAGACAUAGCUGAACCCUAUUCAUAUAGCAUACAAUUUACAGUUACAUUCACAUUUACUUUAAUUUAACCAAAUAUAUAUAUAAAAGUAUACGUCAAAUCUGUGCCCCAUUAUUCAAAAGAUUACAAAAUAACUCUGACUCAUGGAGUCACGAGCACACAGUUGCAGUUCAAAAAGUCAAAAAAGCAAUAAAAAAAUAUUCACUGUCUUUCAAUACUUGAUCCCACAGCAUCAAUUAUCAUUGAGACAGAUGCCUCGAAUUUUGGAUAUGGUGGUGUGUUAAAGCAAAUCCCACUAGAAUCAUCUCAAGAACAGUUAGUUAGGUACCAAAGGGGUGUGUGGACCGGCCCUCAAAAGAAUUACUCCACUAUCAAAAAAGAAAUUAUUUCAAUAGUCUUGUGUAUUUCAAAAUUUUAAGACAAUCUUAUCAACAAAAAUUUUAUUUUGAAAACAGAUUGCAAAGUCUCAAAAGAUGUUUUACAAAAAAAAUGUAAAAAAUCAAUUUGCCUUCAAUAUGAAAGUUUCCUAGAUUUUUUGUUGGGAUUUCUUUCUACUGUAGAAUCAAAAUGAUGAAUACUUCACUUAAGAGAUUACCAGAAGAUUCAAAGUCAAAUGGUGGUCUAAAUUCAAAGAAACAAAUUGUUGUCCAAAAACGGUUCAAUCAUGGAUUCAAGAACAAAGAAAUUUGGGUGUUCCGAAAUUCUCAAAAAAAGAACAAGAUGAUCAAGCAGAUUUUCUGACUGAAAAACAAAGGAUUAUUUCAAUGUUACCAAAAUGCAAAGAUCCAAAAGAAUUAUUAGAAAUUUAUUAACAUAUUUCUAAUAUUGGAUCUAAAAAAUCAAGUACUCAAGAAUCUGAUCAAAAAUCUCAAGAAACAGACAAUGGUGAUAACCUAAUUGAUUUAGGUUAUGAUGUCUUUCUUGCUCAAGAAAUAAGGAUCAAAUGACUACAAGAACCCAGUUUUCACGAAGAAUUGAGAAAUUACAGGAUUAAUAAAUCAAGGGAAAUUCUUUUCAAAUGUUGCAUGCCAGCUAAUCAGCUUUUUCUCAAGAGAUUACCAUCUAUUCCAAGAAAAAGAUAACUUUAUUAAACUAGGAAUCUUUCUUUUUAAAGUUAGUCAAAAAAAUGGCUCAAUUAUUCAAAAGUGGGUUUCAUAUUUCAAGAUUCUUCAUUAUGUUGUCUCCCACUCAACUAUUCAAGAUUCUUUCUGGCAAACGAAAGAAAUUUCAAGUCCGGAUUUCAAGUAUAAGAAGACUUCAAGAGUUCAUUCCAAGGAAGAGCAAAUUUGGCAAUAGAAGUUUAUUUUCUCUUGUUAUUUUUGUUCUCUAAAAAAUUACUCUUUAAUUUUUCAAAUUCUGUAAUCAUUCAAUAAUCAAUAAAAUUUCUCUUUUCAAAUAUUUCUAUUCUUAAUUUGGAUAUUAUUUUUUUUUUAAUUUUCUGAUUUCCUUUCCCCUGGGCUAUUUUGGUAUCAGAGCCAUAAGAGAGUAAUGUGAUAUUAUUGUCAAACAAUGUAGGCACAAUAUAUUUAGGAAAACAUUGUUCAAACCUGGACGUCUGCUGUUAAGCGUUGGUCAGCCCGUAUUGCCGGUGUAGGCGUUGAAGGGUGGUCCCGUUGUAGGCUUGGUGAGAACCUAUUUAUUUCUAUUUUUGUCUACAUGGUAGUUUCACGUGCAAAAUAUACCAAAAAAGCAAUUAUGGAUCGAAAUGCAUAGCAAAAACUUCAGCGGCUAGUUUCUUCCUCCAACUGUCGAUCAUAGUAUCGGACAUAAGUUUCACGUCUAAUCCCAUCGAUAAAAACUCUAUGAACUUGAUAACGUAUAUCCCACAAUCUCCCCUGUGAAUAUAUAUUUGUCAUAAUAAAUAUAUGCACUCUCAAAAUAAGUGAAAAUCUAAAAAUUUUUAAAGAUAUAUUAUUUACGCAUUGUUUUGUUGUGGAACGUCUGUAUGUCGACGCUAUAGAAACUGCUUGUGUGGGUAGUUUUCCCCGAAUAACAAUCUUUCCUUCAUCAUUCUAGGAAUCACCUUCACAAUUGGAUGCAUGAUUUUUUACAAUUUUUCAAAACGAGUCAAACUCUUCAUGCUGUCAUAUAAUGCUGUUAUAUACAUAUAUAGUUCGUUCGGCAAAGUCCACUUUAAGUGCAAUCCAGUGUUUCAUUUCCACAUUGCAGGGAAUAUAUAACGAUGUACAAGAAUCCCAUCGCUUGCUCCAUUCUGGAUUUUUACCAUAUAUAUAUAUCUUGUCAUAUUUUUCAUCCAUUUAAAGUUUUCUACUGGAUUUUUUUCUUUCUUAUGCAGCUCAAAAUCUUCAAACCUCUUGGUGCACAUGUUAGUAAAAGCACAAUCCAAAAUUGCACAAUCUUGUGGGAACACAGUAGGAUAUGUAUGUAUUCGUGCCCUCAUCAACAACAACGCUAUGUCAAUGUACUACAGAUGUAUAAAGCCGUUUAAGAAUGAAAAGAAGUAUGAGAAAAAUAUAGAAUGCUAAAGUACUUACAUCACUAUCGAGCCAUCCAAAUUGCUUCUGAAUUUCAAGAAAGAAACUUUUUGGCUUCGUGAACAUCAUCAUGUCCACAUGUUCACUGCAUAAAACAAAUAACAUAAGAGCAUAUAUUACAACUUCACAAAAAUAAUUAAUGUAAGAAUAGUUACCUGUCAGGUGCAUUAACCAACCAAUUCUGUAAGUCAUCUGCCUUAGCCGGAUCUAGCUCUCGAAAUGGGUCAAAUGCUUUUACAUUGUGAAGCUUCCUCCUCUUCUCCGGAUUUGUGAACGAAGAUUCAAGAACAAGUGACCUUUUCUUGAUUCUCAUCCCGCGCCCAAUCUGACUUGACUUAUCAGACUCAUCUUCCACCACUAUAGGGAUGGACUCCAUUACAUCACCAUGUGCUAUAGAAUCCAUCGGUACACAGGUAUCUCUCUCUUCCACAUGAGUUUCAUCAUCAUUCGGCAAAUCUGUUGCUUGCCUUUGCUCAUUUUCCACUUCAAUGGGAUUUGGACAGUUAUUCAUAUCAUCUGCUUGUUUUUGUUCAUUGCCAUCUACGGGCAACGUUGCUUCUUUUACAAUAACUGGUUCAUUCGCCAACACAUAAUCUUCCACUUCUCUCUUCUCAUUGUCAUCUUGAUUCUCAUCAUUUUGAACUUCUACAUGUACAAGUGGAUCCUCAUUUACAUCACAUGCUUCUCCAGUAUUCAUAAAUCCACUACGAAGAGGAGAGUGAUAUGUGUAAGGUGUUGUUGACGGGUUAGAAUUCUUCAUCCACUCCACAACAGAUGAUAUAUUCUCAUCAAUUUGUCUACAAAAGGAUGUGACACAAUCAAACCUUUGGUCUAUGUAAGAUCGCAUCUCAUCUAUCCGCCCUUCAUUUUUCCUCUCUAAAAUCUCUACCAUCUGUAGUAAUUGCAUUCUCAAUUCCUGAGCAAACUCAUCUCUAGAUGGAUACAGAGAUGGAUAUGAUGUAGAUGGUCCUGGAUGAAAUGUAUGAGCAUCUGUAGAAGUAGGUGGCCUAUGAAAAGAAGAUGGAUCCCGAGGAGAUGUAGAGGCAUUAGGAGAGUGACAAGUUUACUGAGGAAGAUCAACACGAAUGGACGAAUUUGCUACAUUCUCCUUAUCCACAAAGAUAUCAACUGUCGAAUCCUCUACUUCAUCCUCGAAUCAAUGAAUCUCUGUCCAAUAUGCUUUGGAAGCCUCUUCCGACGUAGGCUUCAGUGUGAAAUGAACAACAAUUUAUAUGAAAAAUGAGAGGCACACUUAGUUGUUAUAAAGUACACUACAUAUUUUGAUGUACAUUUAAAAUUUACUUACAUUUGGUUCGUCCAUACUUGCACCAAUAUCCUUGUAGUUAGGCAUUUCAGAAGAAUUCCAUCGACAUAUUUUGGGGAGGUCAACCUCCUGUAGAUUCUCACCAUAUCUCCGUCCAAUAGAUGGUAUGGCUUCAUAGGCCCAAAUCUGCAUAAGAUGCAAAAUAUUACAAUCUAAACAAAAUGAAUAAUAAAUUAUAAUUUUGAAAACAUUACCUGCAAGGCGAGUGGAAAUCCAUAUAUUGAAUAUGGAUAUUUCUCAUUAUUUAUCAAGUAUCACUUCACCAACAAUUUCCAGUCUCUCAUGAAUACAUCAAUUGUGCGGGCAAAUGCCUUUCUCCCCCAAGGAUAACUAUUAAAAGCAUCUAGGUCAUCAACUAUUGACAAGUGUUCUACAUUUAUGUAUGUGUAGCUUUCUUUGGGCAGUAGUACCGUUUCCAAAAUAUAUACAAGCCCAAUCUUGCACUUGUCUUCCACACGCACUUUGCGACUUUCAAUAGCUUCCUUCAAAUUGUGCACCGUUAUGCCUUCUUUACACCUUUUAAAGUGUUUCUUCACCAGUCUAUCAUUAGUCACAAUAUGGGGCUCCAACGAAGGCUCCUCACUAGCUCUCAACCCCGUUAUCAAUGAGAACUCGUAUAAUGAAAAUCGUGUUGGCUUACCUCCAAUUGAAAACCAGAUCUCAUUUUGUUUUUUGGUUACAAUCAUUCUCAAUACAAGUUGGUGGAUUAGAUGUGCUGAAAAAGGUAUGCGCUUCAUUCGAUAUAGUUGUCCAAAACAAGAUUCCAUCAGCAUUUCUUGAUGAACAUUAUCUAACAUUUCCCGAACAUAGUCAAGUUUUUGAAGGGAAGACUUCUGCGAAGGCCUGCCUUUAAUUCUAUGUUCAGUGGGAAUCACAUAAUCAAAUGAGCAUUCCAUUUCUGUAAUGAAAAACAUAAAACAAUCAUGCUAAGUUAUCAGAAUUACAUAAACGACAGGGUGACAUUUUUAGAAUUGCAUAAACGGCAGGGUGACAUUUUCAGAAUUAUAUAAAUUUGGCACAAGAUAUUAAGGAUCAAUUUAAGAUGAACCCAUUUAUGAACUGGAAUAUAUAUGCCUAUUCUGUGUGGGACUAUAGGACAUACAUUUUCAUAUGCACACCAUAAUUAAAUGAAUGUACACAUGGGACAGAAUUGUUGUGUAAAAAGAACAAUCUAAAUAACCAUUUCAUAAUGAGAAAACCUAAGAAAUUAGAUUCAUAUGCACAUCAAAUCAACAUUAAUUAAAUACCCCAAGAUGACAUUUUCAGAAUGACAUAAACGAUGAGUUGCCAUUUUUAGAAUUGGAUAAACUACAUAAAUGGUAACGUGACAUGUUCAGUAAUGGAUUGUAAUUGGUCUUGUUAGACUUAUUUACUUUUAUUGAUUUGCUUUUAUCCAAAUAGGUCCUCCUCCUGCGUAGGCUUAACAUAAAUGACAAGGUCCUCUUAGACAGAUUUGCUUGUAUCCAACAAUUUGAAACUGCAACCAAAUUGGACUGUAACGAAAAUCAUGUCUUUAAUUCUACUAGGUCAACAAGUAGUGAUCCAACAUUCUACAAGUAAAGCUGACACUAAAAAAAAAAAAAACUAUAUGAAUAAUCUGACAUUAAGUGUUCAAGAAAGAUAGCCUAAUUUAGUUAUGUCUAAUUCAAAUGCAAAUUGAAGUAUGACGAGAGAAAUUAAUAGACGACAAUUCAAAAGAUCAAUUAAUGAAAAUGGCAAGAAAGAAAUUACUAUCCAAAUUCACAAGGAUUAUAAAUUCUACCAUAAUUAUCCCAGUAAAAUAGUCGAUCAUGCAUGUUUUCUGCAAUUUUGAAGUAAUUAAAUGUUAAAGUAAAACAAAGAGUUAUUAGCUAAGACAAACAACCUCAUAUGAACAUAAGCAGUCGUGGGACCAACACAUGCCUUAACGACCUAAGUCACCAUUCCCUUAAUUUAUACCUAAUUAGUGUUAUCUUAACUUGCUAUUACAUAAGUCACUAGUUCUUAACUCGAAGACCUAUGAUAAAGAAUCACUUGCCUAAUAAUACUUUUACAGAACUUACCCUUAACUUGUACAGUUAUAGGCAUUGUUAGCGCACAUAGAAUUCCUAUAGUAGUUCUCUGUUUUGGUCGAAUUGCUCUAAACCUCUAAUUUAACUUGUACAGUUAUAGGCAUCGUUAGCGCAUAUAGAAUUCCUAUAGUAGUUCUCUGUUUUGGUCGAAUUGCUCUAAACCUAUACAUUAUAUGUAGAUCCUCUACAUAUAAUGUUCACUGUUAAAAACUCUUUAAUCCUACUAAGAGUAAAAUUGCAUUUAUGCAUUCAUUUAUAGUUUUAGCUAACCAAAAACCUUGAAAAAUUCAGAGAAUGCAAGGGUGGAAAAGCAUUUAAUCUCCUUUAACAUACAUAUCAGUUAACUUUAAUAAAAUCCAAGAAAACUUAUUUUCGUUAAAUAAUUACUUCUUCAUUUCAUAACUAAUUGAAUGAGGAAAAAAUGAAACUAACCCACAGAAAUGAAUGCAUGCCCAAUUCAACCAAUAGUCUCAUAAAUCCUUUCUACUGUUUUCGUUCAAAAUUAUAUCCAAAUAUUCGUAUACCCAUUUAAACUAUUAGUGUAUACAAAAUGUAAAAAAAGAAAAAAUCAAAGAGCAACAAUACAACGCGAAUGGACCAGAAAGAUGGUUAAGAUACAAUACACUCACUUUCAAGAAAAAGAAUUAAAUGGGAUACAAUAACAAAAUAUUAAUGUGUUGAGAAGCCGAUAUUUUUUUACAAAAUUCAUAGAAAAUCUUAGUGACAAUAGAAAAUUGAUGAAACCAUUAUACCUGAGGAUAGACAACUAAAAAAUUGGUUCCUUCAAUGAGCCGUUCGCGAUACUUGUUCGUGGCAUGUGGUGGAACUGCUCGAGGUGGUGGUAGCUUUUCAAAUGUAAAAAUAUCAGGCUCCUCUACCGUUAUCUGCAAAUGGGGAGGGAAUAUAUAGAGGAAAGAUGGUGAGGUACGAGAGAGAAGAGACAGAUUUGGGGUUAGGGAAUUUAGGGUUCAAAGUGUUUUUACAUUCACAGAGUUUUGGAGAAGGAAAAUGAAAAGGGAAAAAUUUCUUUUGAUGGAAUGAGGGUAAUUCAGGAAGUUUGUUAAUUUUAGUUUAAAAUAUUUAUUUUAAUACUUUUAUUAUGGUCAAAGGCUAAAUUUGCAAAGUGUAUUAGAGGAUAGACUAUUUUACCCAAUUUCCACUUCUCUUUUGAUGUAAUGCUGCUGAACUUCAGAGUUGAAUGUGAAAACUCUUGUUUUAUACAAAUUAUUGAAUGGAUGGUCAUUACAGAUUAGAAAAUGAUAAUAGAAUUGUGUUGCCCUGCAUUUCUGUGACGGGACACCUAGAAUGGUACGGGGUUUCACCUUUUCUUGCAACUAUAUGCUUCUGUUCCCUAAAAUUUGUGACAGAUGUCGUCUAAUCUGUAAGUCGGGUGCAUUAUAGUAAUUUGCUCUAACCUGAGAGAUUUUUUUCUUGGAUCUAUUGGUCAAAGUAGGAAACAAUAUGGAUAAUUAUAUUUAUAACACAAUUUUUAUUUCUUACACCACAUUUUAAUUGUAUACAAGGUUCUUAAUAUUUGCUCAUUAUAGUAUUUAUAUCCUUAAUAGUUUAUCUUCAAACUUUUCAUUAGUUAACGCAUUUUGUAUUUGAUAAUAAUUUUAUGUCAAAAGCAUUCAAUUAACGUAAAAUAACUUAUUUUUUCAUCAUAUCUUUUAAAAAAAUAACUAAAUAAAAACUACGAAAAAAAUAUUUUUUCCCUCAUUUCAAGAUGAAAACAAAAUAUUUUGAUAUAAAUCAUCAAGUACAAUACGUGUUAAUUAAUUGAAGUAACCUUAAUAUUGUUGAUCAUUAUUUGAUUCAAAGCAUCUCUCAUCUUAGUUGAAAAGGUAAAUAACAUUUCAGGAACAAAUCUAGUUAUGCUUCCAUGUUACUUUUGUAUUAUUUUUUCUUUUUACCUUUUUCACAUCCGAUCUCGCAUAAUCUUCUUCAUUGCAUAUGCUAAAAUUUAUAAAUCAUCUAUAAAUGAUUAAAUUUAAUUUUUAACUUCACAUUUCAAUGGACCUACAAGUAUAAUAUCUAUCACUCAUUUCUAUCUAUCCAUAAAUUCUUUUCAAACGGAGGAUAAUUUUUUCUCCCUUUUCAUUUAAAUACAAGCUUGUGUAGUUCUAUUCACAAACCCUACAAGAACGAGCUCUAAAGCUCGUUGGCCCAAAGCAUGGCUUGUUUCGGAUCGGGUUGUGCCAGGCCUCUGCCUCUUAGACUGACACGCACACAAGCCGAUCUCAUUUUUCGAAUUUUCAAUGUGUGUGUGUGUGUAUAUAUAUACACACGUUUGAAAUAUUAAAGAGAACAUCUUUAGAAUAAAAUUCAGAUUGAAUUGCAUUUAUUGGUAUGCCCAACUAUCCAAAUACUUUCAUUACACUUGAUUUAUUUAAAUUUUAUCGUCACAAAAUUGUAUUACGAGUGAUGGUAUGUGUAUAAAGGAGGUUGACAAAACAUCAGUUGGCAAGGUCUAUAUCACUCAUUUCAAAACCAAAUUUUGAAAUCAAAACAAAUUAACGACCUAAAUCUUGCUAACACAUAUUUUGUCGAUAAACUUUGUCUACCUACUUUGUACAAAUAAAUUAAUUGUUAUCAAAUUUAGCCCGUGUUUGAUCCUCAUUAAAUUAAAUUACAUUUUAUUCCAUUUUUCUCUCUUCUAUUUUCAACCACACAAUCUUCCAUAAAAUAAUAUUACACGUAAAUCGAAAGUUUUUCCUUCUUUUUCAACCACUCAUUUUUCUAAAAAAUACUAUUCCUCCCAUUUUCAUUUUCAAGUAACGGGGGUUAAACUGGGGCUUAAGGUUUGGUGGGGUUGGUCAAUAUUUUUAAAUUUGUUCAUAAAUUAAGAAUAUCCCAUAUUAACGUGAUGCAUUGAAACCCCUAGUCGAAUCCAAUAGACCAAUAAUGUUACGUGCUUUAGAUCUAAAUGCACCAAUCAAACUUGGCAACUUGUAUUGUAAAAUAGGAGUUUGGUAGUAAAGGCCCCUAUAAAAGGUCCCACAUUUUAUCCUUUUCUUAGAUAAAUUUCAACAUAUGAUUAAAUGACCAUAAAGAUAUCAAAUAUCUUUUCAAUUUCAUCCUCCCCUCAGACUAGACUCGAAUUUCAAUUUCAACUACAUUUUAUUUAAUAAAAUAAUAUUAUAUGCAAACCAAAAAAUUUUCCUUAUUUUGUAACCACAAAUUAUCCAUCAAUUUAUUAUCCCAAAAUGAAGCUCAAAUAGCUCUAUAUAAGUUCAUAACUUUUUUCUAUUUAGUUAUGGUCGAAAUUCCACUAAUGAUGACACGAUUGAAUCAGGAGAAGGAAAUGAUAUUUUUGAUGCAUACAAGAGAGCUACUCUACGUCCAAGGCCAUAUGGGCCUUGAAUUUCCACAUGGCCGCCUAUCGAUAUCCAGGACCUAUGUAUUCCUAGACAAGCAGAUUUAUUAUAAGAAGAAAGAAAUUUUUCUCUUUUAUACGAUUUAUAAUUUUUUCUAUAACAUUUUUCGUUUUAUUUGGGCAAAUAAUGCUUUGUAACAUGAAAGUCCACUCCUUGCCGUAUGGGAUGUAAACCAAGGUACAAAACCAUCCGUCUUUGACCAUUCUGCUGACAAUUAUUCCAAAUUUUUAAAUGAAGCGCAAAGUUUGAAAUAUUAAAGGCGAACGUCUUCAGAAUCAAUUCCGAUUGAAUUGCAUUUAUUAGAAUGUUCAACUAUCCAAAUAAUAUCAUUACACUUGAUUUAUUUAAAUUUUAUCUUCAAUAAAAUUAUCUUACUUAAGGUUGGGAUUGGUCAUUAUUUUGGAAUUUUGUUUAUAACUUAAACAAUAUCAGAUAUUAAUUUAUUAAAUUAAAACCCCUAGUCGAAUCCAAUGAACCAAUAAUAUUAUGUGCUUUAAAUCCAACUUGACAACUUGUUUUGUAAAUAUAUGAGUUUGGUAGCAUAGGCGGCUAUAAAAGUUCCCACAUUUUAUCCUUUUCUUAGAUAUAAACUGCCAAAUAUUAAUUAUGCUAUUUGAUCCCUUAAUAAUUAAAUGACUAUAAAUAUCACAAACAUCUUUUCAAUUUCAUCCUUCCCUCAAACGAGACUCGAAUAUAUAUACACAUACAUUAAAAAAGUAAGUAGUAUUGGGAAAUUAAUUAAUCUGCCAUUUAGGUCGACAUAUGUAAUAAAUUGUGCAUAAAGACUAUCUUAAAGUUAAGUCCGAAAUUAAAGUGAUUUAAUAAAGAAUUAAGUAAUUGGGCUUAGGGCAUCUAAAUGAAGUGUGGUCCGGGUUAUAUGUAUAGAUACCAGAUUUUUUUAGGAUUGUAUUUCGGGCGAAAUAUAUACUAAAACUAUAUAUAGGGUUAUUAUCCCAAUUCAUAUGCAAUUUCUCAUUCUUUAUGACAUCUCAUCGACACAAGAAUCUAAAGAAAAAGUAUAUUGAAGAGGAAAUCCAAAAUCCGCAAAUGGAUUUCAAGAAUCAAGAAGAAGAAUCCAAGAAUUCAUAACAAGAUUAAAGAUUCGGAGGACAAGAUUCAAAGAUUAUACUCCAAAAUUUAGUGUUCAAGAUACAAAUCAAUUAAUCAAAGGUAUAUUACGCAUUAAUUAUUUAUCUUGGUGAUUCGAUAUGGAGAUAUUGGCAAUUAUGUAAAGUUUAUAAAAUUUAAAUUUCAUAAUUGUUUAACAAAUAGUUCGAGUAGAAAGAUGAUAUGAGAAAAGUUUGUAACUUUUUUUCUAUUUAGUUAUGGUUGAAAUUCCACAAAAGAUGACACGGUUGAAUCGGGAGAAGGAAAUGGGAUUUUUGAUGCAUUAGAUUGUUUUAAAUAUAAUUAAAGAAGAAAAAACUUAAUUUUUUCUCUGUUAUAUGAUUUAUAAUUUUUUUCUAUACUAAUUUUUUUUCCUCCAAAUAAUUCUUUAUAAUAUGAAAGUGUGGACUUUGACCAUUUGGCAUAUGGGACGUAAAUGAACGUACAAAACCAUCAGUUUUUGACCAUUUUGCUGACAUUUAUAUCAAGAAGUGUGCAUUGAUUCUAUGAGUUGAACUUGAUCAAAAUAUCAAAAAUUUUAUGCGAAUUUUGUGCAUUUCAUCCCUAACCUUUGGAGACUCUUUCUAAUCCCUCCCCAACUUGAUUGAUCUUUGCCCAAUUCAUACUUUUAAUGAUUUCCAAUUUAGAUAUUAAAUCACCACGUGGAUUAUCCGCACAUGACAUAAUUUCCCAAGAGCGAAUUAGUCAUAUCAUUUCCACACAAUUGGAGAAUGAAUUUGUAUACCUAACCUAACUCAUCCGUAAUAUUUAAAUAAAUUAGCAUAAUGGUCCGAUCUUUUUAACCUGAUUGAACACUAUUGAUCUUCCAACCUUUGAAACUAAACAUACUAUAAUACAUACUCGUUAUAUACAAUGAUUUUGGUUUUUUGUAUACAAAUAUUUCUUAUACCUCUAGAAGUAAAAUCUCACACUGUAAAUUUAACUUGUUCGAGAUUAAAUUGAUACAAUAAAAAUACCAAACAAAUCACAAUUCACACAAUAUACCAUACAACAAAUCGACAACUAGCGAUUUUAAUUCAAAAGUACGAAGAGAGCGGUGCAAAAGGGUUUUGGGAUUUCUUUUUAUAUAAAAUAAAUCCGUCCUUUGUUUUUAAGAACCACUGAAAUUUUCCCAUCUAGUGACUAUUUUGCCCAUGGAAGAUUAUGUCAUGAGCGAUCCACGUGGAGGUUUAGCAACUCAAUUGACAGAAAUUGUUUGGAAGAAUGAAUAGUGCAAAGGUCCCUAAAGGUUUGGUAAGAGUCUCCAAGGGAUGAAAAUUUUCCAUUUCUAAUCUAUAGAUAAUUAUUGCACCUUUAAAAUACCAUGUUGGGAUUUUUCUCGUUUAAAUUAUUAAUAUAGAGUUUAAUUAUAUUUCUUUUGGGACAAAGGCAUUAUUUUCUUGGUUUACUUUGACCAUUUUGUGAUGUAUGUCAUCAUUGUCUUUAUCAAGAUAGUUUGUCAAGUCAAUUGUCAGCCGGAUAAUUUUGUGCUUCCAGCCAUUGGAUCAACUUGGAUGAUCAAGACCAUGCGGCUUCUCAUUUUUAGGGUUCAGGAUAACGUGUAGCUUAAAGCUCAUUUGGUUUAGAUAAAAAUCAGAAUUUAAGUAAAUUUUAAUAAAAAUUAAUGAAAUGUAUUAUUGAAAAAGUGUGAAUUGUGAUAAAAUUAAUUGUUAUUUUUAACUUAAAUUUUAAUUUAUUUUUGUAGUUGAAUCAAUCAAAGGCAAAUCUUCUUUUUGUGAAACGUUCCGCUAUCUUGUUCAACACCUUUUUCUUCGUGAUUUCUCGUAAGUGAACCAUGGUUCCACACCAUUUUAAAAUAGAGCAAAUUGGUUCUCUGCUUCUUUGUAUAGAUGCACAAUUAUUACACAAUCACAAAAGUAUCGAGAUCUAAAUUAACUUGUCAUGUUACUCACAUAAAAGCAUGUCCAAUUUCAAUUUUUUGGACCUCAAUUCAAAUUAAAAAUAAAUGCUGGAUAUAGAAGAAUCACGUAGUAAUAAUUUAGAGGGGUUAAUAUCAUCAUGAAUUGUUGUGCAAUUAUAAAUGUAUAUUAAAGACAAACUUGCUACUUAAAUUAAGUAUAAAGCCAUUCGUAUAAAAAAAUGACUCAUAGAAUUCCGUCAAACACUCACAAUGUGUGGGCUCCAUGUUGUUAUAGUAAAAUUCCAAAAAAAUCCCCCACCUCCUAUUGUGUGUUGUUUUUGACAUUUCUAUGAAUCACAAUUUUGUUCACACAGCAUUCCCCAUUAAAUUAAGAAUUGAGUUGGGGGUGCCUCCCGGGGCACAGCUCAACUGGUGGAUCAAUCAACAUUGGCGUGCUUUCAGCGGCAGGGUGGAGAGUUCGAUUCCUGGUGGGAACCUGCGGCCAAAUAUUUGGUAUGGAGCAAUCACUGUGGAAGAGGGUCUCUUGUGCGCAGAAGUGUACAGUCAAUGGGGGGAACCUGUGAUUCAGUUGAGGCAUAACCCGCGAUUUACCCCCUCCAAGGUUCUAGGGGCAUGGGUCUUGAAAAUCCAGGAUUUAGUCUGGUGUAAGUUGGGAUACCUGAAUAUAAAAAAUAAAAAAAAGAAUUGAGCUGGGGGUAUAGAACUCGUAGUUCACGGACCUCUUACGGAGGUUUCAGACAUGGUGAGGUCGGAAUUUUUUUUAUCAUUUUUUAUUGCAACGGGCUCCGCAAUGAGAUGGACCUUUUGUGAGGCUUCUAAUUUUCUUAUGUGCUUGUUAAAUUAAAGGCUCCUGAUGAUCACAGGACAAAUCAAAGUCAACUUUUUAUUGCUGGAACAAAUUUUUUAUUAUAUAUAAUGUCAUUUGCUAUAUUUUAUUAUACAUAGUGGCUUUUGUGAAUGCGCUUUGUCCAAUUAUUUGGCCUUAGCAAAAAGUCAUCUGAAAUGUGAACGCACAAUUUUGCUCAGCACUGCGUUUUAGAAUGGCCGCUGCUAUAUCCUCAAGUUGAUUUCAAAUAAUUCUUUUAUUAAGUAUGUAUUUGGUGGGAAUAAAAAUUGAUAAAAGUGUAUAAUUAAAAAAUUGUGAAUUUUAUAAAAUAUUUGAUUACAAUUAAUUGUUGACAAUAUGGACUGAAAGUAAUUUUCACAUAUUGUUCCCUUUGCAAUGAGAAUCUUUCUGACGAAAGCAUUUGAUCUGAUAUCAAUUGCUACCAUUGCAUUGAAUAUGACCAUGUUGUCCGAACUCAGAUGCACCAACACUUAAUUUUUCGAAAGUAGGAGACGGACAAAUUGAAUAUACAUUAACUUUAAUUUUUAAAAAUUUUAUGUUUAUUAUAUAUUUUAUCUUUAAUUUUAUACUUUUUAUUACAGGACAAAUCACAUGUCACAUAGAGCACUCCUUCGAAGAAUUUUAACGUAGUGGAGCAAGACACGGAAGUAAUUAUAAUCAAUUUCCACAGAAUUUAAUAUCGAAUCGAGUUCCAUAAGGAUAUAUAAUGAUCAACAUGCAAGGCUUUGCACUUGGGCAAUAUUAAAACCAAAACAGUUUUCUUUCCAAGAUGAGAACCCAAAAUCUUCAAUCUUUUUACCUCCUCUUUUUACUUGUAUUCUUCUUCUCCUUCAAUUCUGCAACUUCAGAAUCUCAUCUUCAGUUGAGAAGAGGCGAUUCUUUAUCUGUUGAGGGCGAUCAAGAUUUCCUCACCUCCCCAGAUAACUCAUUUACUUGUGGGUUUCUUAACUUGGAAAAUUCUAAUGCCUACUGGUUUGCAAUUUGGUUCACAAAUUCUAAAGAAAAAACCGUCGUCUGGACCGCAAAUCGGGACAGGCCGGUUAACGGCCACGGC
This 18006-nucleotide long non-coding RNA is filed under the name Olea europaea (common olive). RNAcentral describes it as "long non-coding RNA (OEUR_LNC006636)". Lineage: Eukaryota; Viridiplantae; Streptophyta; Magnoliopsida; Lamiales; Oleaceae. The record is from RNAcentral.